GUCAGCACCUACGGCCCCCUCCCCAGCUGGGAGGCCGGAGUGGCCAGCAGCCCCUCCCUCAAAGCCGGCCCUGCAGCCGUGGAGGGGUGGGGAGCAGGGGCAAGCCUCCCAUUUCCUGCUGCUUCCGAUUUUCCUCUGGAGUGGGGAGGAGGUAUCCUCAGCAGCCCUGGAAGAGAUACGGGCCAGCAGACGGGUGCCAGAAUUUUGCUUCGCCUGCACCGCUACAGAACUGCAGAAAGCCAGCUGGGUUUUUCCUUCUUCCCCUGUUCAAUUGGCAGCCUCACCGAUAGCUCGGAACCCCAGCAGAAUAAGGCCCUUGGGCUGAAACAGACCAGCAAAAGCUGCGACUAAGGAGAGUCAGCAGAAGCCUGGUGCAUCUGUGGAAAUGUGGACAGCACAGCAGCCAUUCCUGGGUCACUAGCCCUUGUGUUGCCCAUGAGGACCAGUGAAGGGGAGGAGACAACCCCACCCUGCUAAGGAGGGCCCCUGAGCAGCACAGGAUCCCUGGAGGUCCAGCUGCCAGCAGCAGCCAGGGGUACUUUUGACCAGCAGCAACCCCUCUCCUUGAUGCUCAGGAUCCAGCCACCCCACGAUCACUUCCACAAGGCUGGGACGUUGCAAGGGGCUCAGAACUGGAAGGAAGAAUUAGAAUCAGAAGGAAUUCCUUCCUUAGAACUGGAAGUGGCUUGCAGACACAAAGUUCAACGAAACAAUGUACAAAAAAGCAGAAAACGGGAAAAUGAGCACGAGAUUAUUUUUUUUUAAUCCAACCAGAUGUGAGAAGGCCUGCUGUGUCUCUAACUAGCAUCUAUCUAAGUGCAUCUCUUGAAACGCCAUAGAGAUGCUUAAGAUCUUAGGGAGCAAUGUCUGCCCUCUCAGUGUCCCUGGUCCCUCAGAGGGGUAUCUGUGUGGGUGGGGGAGGCUUGGCUUUGCAUGUUCAAAUCCUGCCCACAAGUAGGGCAAAGCACCCUCAACAUGCCCUCUUGCCCAGACGGCCAAGACUUUUGCAUUGCAUUGCUCUUUCCUUCCACUGCCUGUAUUAUAAUGCUUCUGUUUUAUUGCUGCUCAUUUGCAUAUCACUCAAAUUAAACUUUUUAUUAGGA
Long non-coding RNA from Hemicordylus capensis (graceful crag lizard), 1103 nucleotides. RefSeq lists it as uncharacterized. NCBI's taxonomy places the organism in Eukaryota, Metazoa, Chordata, Lepidosauria, Squamata, Cordylidae. The record is from RefSeq and is a predicted model, not a curated record. The transcript is spliced from 4 exons.